GGCGUACUGCGCUUCACGACAGGAGUAACUUAUCCCCGGGGCCUUAAUUGAUCUCAAGGGAGCUGUCCCUGGAAAGGCUCGUGGGCUUUUCCACACGGCGCCCACCUACUUUGUAGGUUCCCGGGAUCAAUCUCUCCAUCGGUCGUCGUGGUCGCCA
Non-coding RNA from Paramesorhizobium deserti, 157 nucleotides. The record is from Rfam. Lineage: Bacteria; Pseudomonadati; Pseudomonadota; Alphaproteobacteria; Hyphomicrobiales; Phyllobacteriaceae.